This 507-nucleotide ribosomal RNA is filed under the name uncultured Glomus. Its description in RNAcentral is "SSU rRNA". It matches the Rfam family "Eukaryotic small subunit ribosomal RNA", at positions 569 to 1079 of the family's 1831-position model. The record is from RNAcentral. Lineage: Eukaryota; Fungi; Glomeromycota; Glomeromycetes; Glomerales; Glomeraceae.
CGCAGCCGCGGUAAUUCCAGCUCCAAUAGCGUAUAUUAAAGUUGUUGCAGUUAAAAAGCUCGUAGUUGAAUUUCGGGAUCAAUAUUUCGGUCAUGCCGUUGGUAUGCACUGUUAUCAUUGAUUUCUCACCUUCUAAAGAACCGUAAUGCCAUUAAUUUGGUGUUACGGGGAAUUAGGACUGUUACCUUGAAAAAAUUAGAGUGUUUAAAGCAGGCUCACGCUUGAAUACAUUAGCAUGGAAUAAUGAAAUAGGACGUUUGAUUCUAUUUUGUUGGUUUCUAGGAUCGACGUAAUGAUUAAUAGGGAUAGUUGGGGGCAUUAGUAUUCAAUUGUCAGAGGUGAAAUUCUUGGAUUUAUUGAAGACUAACUACUGCGAAAGCAUUUGCCAAGGAUGUUUCAUUAAUCAAGAACGAAAGUUAGGGGAUCGAAGACGAUCAGAUACCGUCGUAGUCUUAACCAUAAACUAUGCCGACUAGGGAUCGGAUGAUGUUGUAUUUUUUAAUGUAC